GUAGUCUCGCACAGAUGCAUAUCAAUAAGCGGAGGAAAAGAAACUAACAAGGAUUCCCUCAGUAACGGCGAGUGAAGCGGGAAGAGCUCAAAUUUGAAAUCUUGAAAGGUCACCUUUCACGAAUUGUAGUUUAAAGAAGUGUUUUCUGUUACGAUCGUAAUAUAAGUUCUUUGGAAUAGGACAUCACAGAGGGUGAGAAUCCCGUCUAUGAUUGCGAUUUGUAGCUUUGUGAUACACUUUCAAAGAGUCGGGUUGUUUGGGAAUGCAGCCCAAAACGGGAGGUAAAUUUCUUCUAAGGCUAAAUAUUGGCGAGAGACCGAUAGCGAACAAGUACCGUGAGGGAAAGAUGAAAAGAACUUUGAAAAGAGAGUUAAAUAGUACGUGAAAUUGUCAAAAGGGAAGCGUUUAACACCAGUGUUGUUUUCUGAAAAUCAACCUCUGUUAGCUUUAUGCAUGUUUGUUUAGACCUAAUCAGCUAUCUUGCAUGUUCUAUUGUUUGCAGUGGUGCACUUUUCAGUUUACAGGUCAACAUCAGUUUUUUUUACCGUAAAAAAGUUAAAGAAAGGUAGCUCAUGGCUCCGGUCGUGAGUGUUAUAGUCUUUUUCCUAUGCGGUAGGAGAGACUGAGGUCUGCAGUGUAGGCUAUUUGGCUAGAUACUCAGGUGCUAUGUGAUACCAUUUCAUAAACAACUUGUUGAUUAUGUUUUGUCUAUUGCAUACUCGCUUGUACUAUCAUACCUACGCUUAGGAUGUUGAGUCGUAGAGCACGCA
Molecule: ribosomal RNA, 770 nt
Filed under: uncultured Neocallimastigales
Lineage: Eukaryota; Fungi; Neocallimastigomycota; Neocallimastigomycetes; Neocallimastigales
Description: partial large subunit ribosomal RNA
Rfam family: Eukaryotic large subunit ribosomal RNA
Source: RNAcentral